This 440-nucleotide ribosomal RNA is filed under the name uncultured bacterium. RNAcentral's name for it is "bacterial SSU rRNA". It matches the Rfam family "Bacterial small subunit ribosomal RNA", at positions 338 to 770 of the family's 1533-position model. The record is from RNAcentral.
CCUACGGGUGGCAGCAGUGGGGAAUAUUGGACAAUGGGGGCAACCCUGAUCCAGCCAUGCCGCGUGUGUGAAGAAGGCCUUAGGGUUGUAAAGCACUUUCAAUAGGGAGGAAAAGCUGAUGCCUAAUAAGUAUCAGCCCUGACGUUACCUGUAGAAGAAGCACCGGCAAACUCCGUGCCAGCAGCCGCGGUAAUACGGAGGGUGCGAGCGUUAAUCGGAAUUACUGGGCGUAAAGCGAACGUAGGCGGUUUGAUAAGCUGGGUGUGAAAGCCCCGGGCUUAACCUGGGAACUGCAUUCAGAACUGUCUGACUAGAGUAUGGUAGAGGGUAGUGGAAUUUCCUGUGUAGCGGUGAAAUGCGUAGAUAUAGGAAGGAACACCAGUGGCGAAGGCGGCUACCUGGACCAAUACUGACGCUAAGGUUCGAAAGCGUGGGGAGCA